AUUGAACGCUGGCGGAUGCUUUACACAUGCAAGUCGAACGGUAGAGGGGGCAACCCCUCGAGAGUGGCGAACGGGUGAGUAAUAUAUCGGAACGUGCCCAGUCGUGGGGGAUAACGUAGCGAAAGUUACGCUAAUACCGCAUACGAUCUAAGGAUGAAAGCGGGGGAUCGCAAGACCUCGCGCGAUUGGAGCGGCCGAUAUCAGAUUAGGUAGUUGGUGGGGUAAAGGCUCACCAAGCCAACGAUCUGUAGCUGGUCUGAGAGGACGACCAGCCACACUGGAACUGAGACACGGUCCAGACUCCUACGGGAGGCAGCAGUGGGGAAUUUUGGACGAUGGACGCAAGUCUGAUCCAGCCAUUCCGCGUGCAGGAUGAAGGCCCUCGGGUUGUAAACUGCUUUUGUACGGAACGAAAAGGUCUCUCUUAAUACGGGGGGCUCAUGACGGUACCGUAAGAAUAAGCACCGGCUAACUACGUGCCAGCCGCCGCAGUAA
This 495-nucleotide ribosomal RNA is filed under the name uncultured bacterium. Its description in RNAcentral is "partial 16S ribosomal RNA". It matches the Rfam family "Bacterial small subunit ribosomal RNA", at positions 30 to 523 of the family's 1533-position model. The record is from RNAcentral.